UUUUGACAGAAGCCCUGUCAUUUAUUUGACAUAUUGAGUCUGGUGACAAAUUGGCUCACUUCCAAACACAUCGUAAACAUGUAGCGAAUAGGUGUAAUAAUUUUGACCUAUGAUUUCUAUUUAUAUAUUUUUUUUAAACACGAACAAAGUAAAUUUCUUAAUGCCUUUUGUGAGUCAUCUCAUGUAAUAUUAAAACUUAUUGAUCUAACUGCAUAUCAAUUAAAUGCAACGAUGAAAAUAUAGAACAAGGUCACUUCGGAAAACUUAAACCAAACUCUAUUAAAAAUUUAACAUUGCAUCAUGGUCUAAUGUUGUAAAAAUAGUCUCGACAUGCGACACACUUUCUUGUUAGAAGCUUGUUACGGCUUAUCACUAUGGUUACGACAAUGACGAAUCAGUAUAUAUAGAAAAAGAAAUGACGCAUAUUGUUAAAUUUCUCUCCCAUGCACGUGGCUUUGUUUGUUUUUAUAUGCAAAUGAUGUUUUGGUUUUGACACGCGGGAAGUUGGAAAUGUGACAGAAGCAGACAUAGAAACAAAUGUUGACGAAUGUAUAAUGGCUGAAAACAAUGGAAGAUAGUUCUCAACAAAUAUAUCCCGAAUAUGUUGGAAGAUCUUUACGAGUUAUUGGCGAUGAAAUGAACGAUUAUUACUUAACUGCGCAAAAUGGGGGUCGUUCGCCAUGGAUAGUCAAUGAAAAUGUGCGGGAUAAAAUUGUGAAUAUACUGUAUUUUUGUAUUCAUAUUAUACAUGUUGUUUGGUUGGAAAUUUGAAGAAACAUUCCAGAUUUUACAUCUGUUACCCGAAGUUCAAUAAUCGGUAAACAUUGACAUUAUAUAAGUAAAACUUUAUAUACAUUGGGAAAAGGAUUGAUUCAGAGCAUCACCUGACAUGAGUAAUGUGUACCGGAAAUUCCAAUGCGCUUGGGUAUAUUGUGAUUUUGGAAAGACCGGAAGUAGUGGAUUCCAUGACAAUCAGAUAUAUAUCAUCAAUGGAAAUGGUGCAGGUAAAAGGUUUUUCCAAGUCCACUGUGUGUAGGAUUUUCCCAUGUAUAUGGACCUGGAAAGGGGUUUUCCCUAACAGAGUAUUGACAUCGUUAUCGACCAAUUGAUUUUUUCUUUGUUACACGAUCCACAAUCUCUGGAUGCAUUCCUUAGUUUAACAUCGUUUCGUUCAUCUCAUUCACAAGAGAGAUACCGCAAGCUGUGUUGGAAAAAGGCGUAAAAUAGUUUUAAUUAGAAUGUCAUGAACAUUAUUUCAUUUUUCCAAAGGAAUGCGUCUGUCCGAUGUGCCGUUGAUUUAUGCAAUAUCUAUUUUCAUGAAGCAAUACAAAAGAUUUUAUUUCUUAUUCUAAGAACAAAUCUCUAUUUAUUAUGUAAAUGUCUGUCGUUUAAGUGCCUAUUUGUUGGUUCAUAUUUAUGAAACAAUAGAAACUUUGAUUUUAUAACAUUUCUUUGUCUUAUUGUUACAUGUCUACGAUUUUUUAAAUAUAAAAUUUACUCUUCCUAAACCACAAUUCAAGAGAUAAUACUGUUUAUAUAAAUGAAGCGUACAUAAUUCUAUACUUUAAUUGGAUUUAUGUAUCUAUGUUUAGACAAAGUUGAACUAGAUUUUGUACAAUGGUAUUGAUUAAUUAAACUGCGACACUUUUCAUGAAUAUAAACAUUUCCAAAUAUCAUUUACACAUAAUUUUGUCAGCUGAUCUCAACAAAUUGAAUUUGCUCAUUUCAAUUUAUUAUAUGUAAUUAUUUUUAUGCAAAUCGUACUUUUUAAUUUACUUCUUUGUACUGUUCAUCAUAUAAAUAGACAUUUUUCAGUCCUGUAAAUGCACCUAAUGGCAUGCCUUUAUGACUUUGAUAUUUGUGAUUUUGGAUAAGAUCCAAGCUAUUUUUGUAAAAAUGUAUUUCGUAAAUAUAUACACCUUUGUUAUUGAUUUUUAAAAAUAGAAAAAUGCGUUUAAAACGAGACAUUAAAUAUGUAAGAAAAGCCCA
Molecule: long non-coding RNA, 1989 nt
Organism: Mytilus californianus (California mussel)
Lineage: Eukaryota; Metazoa; Mollusca; Bivalvia; Mytilida; Mytilidae
Exons: 2
Source: RefSeq, a predicted model, not a curated record